This 502-nucleotide ribosomal RNA is filed under the name uncultured Glomus. RNAcentral's name for it is "SSU rRNA". It matches the Rfam family "Eukaryotic small subunit ribosomal RNA", at positions 569 to 1074 of the family's 1831-position model. Lineage: Eukaryota; Fungi; Glomeromycota; Glomeromycetes; Glomerales; Glomeraceae. The record is from RNAcentral.
AGCAGCCGCGGUAAUUCCAGCUCCAAUAGCGUAUAUUAAAGUUGUUGCAGUUAAAAAGCUCGUAGUUGAAUUUCGGGGUUAGUAGGUUGGUCAUGCCUCUGGUAUGUACUGGUCUCACUGAUUCCUCCUUCCUGAUGAGCCGUAAUGCCAUUAAUUUGGUGUUGCGGGGAAUCUGGACUGUUACUUUGAAAAAUUAGAGUGUUUAAAGCAGGCUCACGCUUGAAUACAUUAGCAUGGAAUAAUGAAAUAGGACGUUCGAUCCUAUUUUGUUGGUUUCUAGGAUUGACGUAAUGAUUAAUAGGGAUAGUUGGGGGCAUUAGUAUUCAAUUGUCAGAGGUGAAAUUCUUGGAUUUAUUGAAGACUAACUACUGCGAAAGCAUUUGCCAAGGAUGUUUUCAUUAAUCAAGAACGAAAGUUAGGGGAUCGAAGACGAUCAGAUACCGUCGUAGUCUUAACCAUAAACUAUGCCGACUAGGGAUCGGAUGAUGUUAAUUUUUAAUGA